GGCGUAGCCUAAACACAUGCAAGUCAACUUGACUGAAGGAGCAAUCUGACAGUAGAGUGGCGCGAAGGGUGCGUAACGCGUAAGUAACUUGCCCAAGGUAAGGAAUAACGUCGAGAAAUCGGCGCUAAUACCUCAUAAUGCAGCGGAUCCGCAUGGAUAUGUUGUUAAAGGUUUACCGCCUUGGGAUAGGCUUGCGUCUGAUUAGCUAGUUGUGUGGUAACGGCACACCAAGGCUACGAUCAGUAACUGGUCUGAGAGGAUGAUCAGUCACACUGGAACUGAGACACGGUCCAGACUCCUACGGGAGGCAGCAGUGAGGAAUAUUGGGCAAUGCUCGAAAGAGUGACCCAGCAACGCCGCGUGGAGGAUGAAGGUAUUCUAUAUCGUAAACUCCUGUGAGAGCAGACGAAAGACAGACUAUUAAUCUGGAUGACUGUAUGCUCAGAGGAAGCCCCGGCUAACUACGUG
Molecule: ribosomal RNA, 468 nt
Filed under: uncultured bacterium
Lineage: Bacteria
Description: bacterial SSU rRNA
Rfam family: Bacterial small subunit ribosomal RNA
Source: RNAcentral